This 647-nucleotide unclassified non-coding RNA is filed under the name Hevea brasiliensis (rubber tree). Lineage: Eukaryota; Viridiplantae; Streptophyta; Magnoliopsida; Malpighiales; Euphorbiaceae. The record is from RNAcentral.
CAAGAAUAUGGCAAACUGUGUGAUGAGAAGACAUGUUUCUCUUGCAACUGUAUACGGGAAGCAAAUUCACAAAUUGUUCGGGGGACACUUUUGAUACCAUGUCGAACAGCAAUGAGAGGGAGCUUUCCCCUCAAUGGCACAUAUUUUCAAGUUAAUGAGGUAUUUGCAGACCAUGAUUCUAGCUUGAAUCCAAUUGAUGUUCCCAGAACUUGGAUAUGGAACCUACCAAGACGAACAGUGUACUUUGGGACAUCAAUACCAACAAUUUUUAAAGGUUUGACAACAGAAGGUAUUCAACACUGUUUUUGGAGAGGAUAUGUUUGUGUGAGAGGAUUCGACCAGAAGACAAGGGCACCUCGCCCUUUGAUAGCCAGGCUGCAUUUCCCAGCCAGCAAGUUAAACAAGGCAAAAGGCAAGAACUCUAAUGAUUCGUAGAUAGUGCCUUAAAAUAACCAACACUUUUUCCGGAAUGAACGGAUGACUAUAUCAGAGUGUUCAGGCAACAAUAACCAAUAGCAUCACAUUCAACGAAUGUAGCUUGUUUUUCAUUGAAAAAAAGAAAAAAAGGGAAAAACUCUAGUUGAGUUGUAUGCUCCCAUGACUGAUGAGGAUGUAACGUGUAUAUGUUUAACAAGACUGUAAUUUUC